AUAGAUACCCAGGUAGUCCACGCCCUAAACGAUGCGAACUGGAUGUUGGGUUCAACUUGGAACCCAGUAUCGAAGCUAACGCGUUAAGUUCGCCGCCUGGGGAGUACGGUCGCAAGACUGAAACUCAAAGGAAUUGACGGGGGCCCGGCACAAGCGGUGGAGUAUGUGGUUUAAUUCGAUGCAACGCGAAGAACCUUACCUGGUCUUGACAUCCACGGAACUUUCCAGAGAUGGAUUGGUGCCUUCGGGAACCGUGAGACAGGUGCUGCAUGGCUGUCGUCAGCUCGUGUCGUGAGAUGUUGGGUUAAGUCCCGCAACGAGCGCAACCCUUGUCCUUAGUUGCCAGCACGUAAUGGUGGGAACUCUAAGGAGACCGCCGGUGACAAAUCGGAGGAAGGUGGGGAUGACGUCAAGUCAUCAUGGCCCCUUACGACCAGGGCUACACACGUACUACAAUGGUGGGGACAGAGGGCCGCAAUCCCGGCGAGGGUGAAGCCAAUCCCAGAAACCCCCAUCUCAGUCCGGAUCGGAGUCUGCAACUCGACUCCGU
This 550-nucleotide ribosomal RNA is filed under the name uncultured bacterium. Its description in RNAcentral is "bacterial SSU rRNA". It matches the Rfam family "Bacterial small subunit ribosomal RNA", at positions 778 to 1321 of the family's 1533-position model. The record is from RNAcentral.